RNAcentral lists this ribosomal RNA (838 nucleotides) under Ophiostoma sp. RNAcentral's name for it is "eukaryotic LSU rRNA". It matches the Rfam family "Eukaryotic large subunit ribosomal RNA", at positions 76 to 941 of the family's 3401-position model. Lineage: Eukaryota; Fungi; Ascomycota; Sordariomycetes; Ophiostomatales; Ophiostomataceae. The record is from RNAcentral.
UGCCCCAGUAACGGCGAGUGAAGCGGCAACAGCUCAAAUUUGAAAUCUGGCCCCCCCCGCGGGGGCCCGAGUUGUAUUUGGAGAGGAUGCUUUGGCGCGGCGCCGUCCGAGUUCCCUUGGAACGGACGCCGAGAGGGUGAGAGCCCCGUACGGACGGACGCCUGGCCUCUGCGAAGCUCCUUCGACGAGUCGAGUAGUUUGGGAAUGCUGCUCAAAAUGGGAGGUAAAUUUCUUCUAAAGCUAAAUACCGGCCAGAGACCGAUAGCGCACAAGUAGAGUGAUCGAAAGAUGAAAAGCACUUUGAAAAGAGGGUUAAACAGUACGUGAAAUUGUUGAAAGGGAAGCGCCUGUGACCAGACUUGCGCCCCGCGGACCAUCCGGCGUUCUCGCCGGUGCACUCCGCGGGGCGUGGGCCAGCAUCGGUUCUGCCAGGGGGACAAAGGCCGCGGGAACGUAGCUCCUCCGGGAGUGUUAUAGCCCGCGGCGGCAUGCCCCUGGCGGGACCGAGGACCGCGCUUCGGCAAGGAUGCUGGCGUAAUGGUCACCGGCGACCCGUCUUGAAACACGGACCAAGGAGUCAAGCAUUGGGGCGAGUGUCUGGGUGCCAAACCCGCACGCGAAAUGAAAGUAAACGCAGGUGAGAGCUUGGGCGCACCACCGACCGAUCCUGAUGUCCUCGGAUGGAUUUGAGUAAGAGCCUUGCCGCUUGGACCCGAAAGAUGGUGAACUAUGCCUGGAUAGGGUGAAGCCAGAGGAAACUCUGGUGGAGGCUCGCAGCGGUUCUGACGUGCAAAUCGAUCGUCAAAUCUGGGCAUGGGGGCGAAAGACUAAUCGAACC